GGCCCAUGUCUUGAGGGUAUACUCCCUCUCCACCGGCCAAUUCUCUCUCUCAUUUCUCUCCUACAUUCCACAUUUUCCCCCAAAUUCGAAAACCCUAGCUCCCUCAAUCUCCCUCUCUCUUCGUCGACAUCACAGCCCAUCACCACCGCCUCUAUCUCCUGCGAGGGGCGAUCGGUCUCAAGUAGAUUUCUCUCCUUCUCUCGGCGGCAUCACUGCUGCCGCGAUACUAAAUCGCCACCGCCUCUGCACCGGAUUCGGCGAGUCGCUGCCACUGCAUGUUCGCGGUGGUGGAGACGAUGAUCGUGCCUCCAUUGUCGCUUCUCAGAUCGGGGAGUCUUUUGCCUCCAGUGCUGCCGCGUUGCGGGCCCGUUUGCCGGCUCACGAUUCACCACUAUGGGGUUCAUCACGGUCGAACAGCAACAUUGAGUGAGUGCCUCGUUGUCACUGCUCUGCCGUCUCCCUCCGCCGUGCGUGGUGCUUCCCGUCGGGUCGCCGCCGUCUCGCAGUCGGUGCCACCAUUCUCUGACGGAAAAAACCCUUAGCUAAGUCUUCUCCUUAGCUUUUCUAAUUAAGUCUCUUGGCAACGUUACUAAAUUUUCAAGAGCUAAGUCCAUGAUAAAUUGUGAUUUUAGCAUUUUCCUUUGGACUUGCUGUUAGAAUAAAUUCCUAAUUGGAGGAUCUGAUUUGAGUAGAAAAUUCAGGACUUAGCUGAGCCACCACUGUUGUGAAAGUGGAACCUAGCAUGCUCUUGUUACUGUUAUUCUUUGGGUGAAAGCCUUAGUAUGAGCAUGCUUCCUAAGGUUUCUAUGUUGGGUUUUUACUAUGUGAUGACAUGAGAUGCCAACUAGUCUCGAGAGUGAAAGAGGUUACCUUCACUGCUACUGUUAUGUUGCUCUCUGCUCUCUGCUCUUAGCUGCAACCUCCCUCACUUCCCCCUCGGUGAAGUUUGCUGACUGAGUAUGUAGUAGUAUGUAAAAUGGGGCUGAGGAGGGGGUGUUGUGAUAUAUAAAUAGGAGCAUGUGUAACUGAAAGCUGCGAGUCUUGCUGCUUUGGCUGUGGAAAAGGACUCCACAGGCUGUGCAACUGGCUACUCCAUCCGUAGCUCUGCAGAGCAUGUACUCUGAGUCCCUGAUUUCCCCUCUAACUGAUUUUGGUGGUUUGUGGAGAGUACUCGUGAAUUCAUAGGAGUUUUACAACUUCUUUUGUUGCCAUAUUGCAGGCUCUCUCAGUCCUUAACUGCUGCUAUGUACUUACUACAGUCUGUGUGCCCUUUUUGCAGGUAGAGCUGGAGUGAGGGUGGUUAGAAAUGGGGUGCAGAUGCUGCGAUUCUCUUUGCGAUUUGCUGCACUCGGUGCUCAGGCAAAUGGCAGCCUGCCAUCUUUCUCCUUUAAGCAAGUUUGGUCUCCAAACCUUAAAGUAUGAGGGCUAAUCUAUAUAAGUGUUGGCAGCGUCUAUGGCUAGCUGCCGAGGCUGUGUUCCUCGAUGACUCGCCUCUUCGGGCUUUCUGGGAUCUGGGCCGAGACGGCCUAGUGUUGAAGUCCAACGUAGUUGUUAGGGAUUAAUAGCUUAAAUGUAAUAGUGUAGCUCGAAUUUUAUUUUCAUUUUUUAUGUAGACAAGUCUCUGAAAUCUUCAAUAUUUAUUCAUUUCAAGCAUUUGUAAAUUAUUUGCUUGAAAUUCUCUA
Molecule: long non-coding RNA, 1682 nt
Organism: Salvia splendens (bonfire salvia)
Lineage: Eukaryota; Viridiplantae; Streptophyta; Magnoliopsida; Lamiales; Lamiaceae
Exons: 2
Source: RefSeq, a predicted model, not a curated record